RNAcentral lists this long non-coding RNA (230 nucleotides) under Zostera marina. Its description in RNAcentral is "long non-coding RNA (ZMAR_LNC002597)". The record is from RNAcentral. Lineage: Eukaryota; Viridiplantae; Streptophyta; Magnoliopsida; Alismatales; Zosteraceae.
GUUUUCUUUCCUUGAAACUUUUUCUGAAUUUUUUUUUCGGGUCUUCCAACUAAAUGAUAGCAUUUUUCCCGGGUAUGGCCAUAAUAUUUGCAAUUAUCGCAAUAGAAUCUUGUAUCCAAUUUUUUUCCAUUCUUUGAAAACAUUAUCUUAUUUUUUUCAGUUGUACUCUUAUCUUUAACAAAGAAGGCAGAUUCUACUUUCUCAUUGAUUUGUUCUCUGAACUUAAUCCU